RNAcentral lists this small nucleolar RNA (192 nucleotides) under Colobus angolensis palliatus. Its description in RNAcentral is "Small nucleolar RNA U3 (ENSCANG00000000271.1)". It matches the Rfam family "Small nucleolar RNA U3". Rfam says of the family: Small nucleolar RNAs (snoRNAs) are involved in the processing and modification of rRNA in the nucleolus. There are two main classes of snoRNAs: the box C/D class, and the box H/ACA class. U3 snoRNA is a member of the box C/D class. The record is from Rfam by way of RNAcentral. Lineage: Eukaryota; Metazoa; Chordata; Mammalia; Primates; Cercopithecidae.
AAGACUAUCCUCUCAGAGAUGAUUUCUAUAGUUCGUUACUGGAGAAGUUUCUCUGAAUGUGUAGAGAGCAUCAGAAACCACAAGAAAGAGGCGCAGCGGUAUCUCCUGAAUGUGAAGCUGGCUCUUGGUGUUGCUUCUUGGUUCUUCUCUUCCUUUGGGAGAGGAAGAGGAAGAGGAUGCAUUCUUAGUAGU